RNA transcript from Carlito syrichta (Philippine tarsier), 1133 nucleotides. It is a transcript of the gene named armadillo repeat-containing protein 8-like, with no coding region annotated. The record is from RefSeq and is a predicted model, not a curated record. Lineage: Eukaryota; Metazoa; Chordata; Mammalia; Primates; Tarsiidae. The transcript has 3 exons.
AUGGUGUUCCUGCUGGAAACCCCAAUCUGCAUGAGCAUCUUCUCAGAAGUAACAGCUAGCAGUUGCCACUACAUUGACAGGCUGUUUCACCCUGAUCUCCAGAGAGUUCUGCAAGGUGUCAUGCAAGUAAGACAUGAAAAAUGCUGUAAUUGGAAACAGAAGCAAAAAGCUAAUCUCAUAGUGUCAGGAGCUGUUCCAAAAUUGUUGUACUUGCUUCAGCAAGAAGCCACAAGCAUGGAGCUGAAAGCUGAAUGUGCAGUGGUAUUGGGAAGUCUUGCUAUGGGUGCUGAAAACAAUGUCAAGUCUCUACUGGACUGCCAUAUUAUCCCUGCCUUACUGCAAGGACUUCUGUCCCCAGACUUGAAGUUCGUUGAAGCUUGCCUCCAAUGCCUUCGUACCAUCUUCACCAGUCCUAUCACUCCAAAGGAGCUUCGUGUAAAGGGCCAAUUCAUCAAGCAAUUUUAUUUUAACCCUGGCGCCGUUCAGAAUAUUGCUCACCUACUAAACUUUCUGUCCUAUAAUGUUUGGAUGCAAGCGUUGAAAUGCUUCUCAGUUUUAGCUUUUGAAAAUUCCUAAGUAUCAAUGACCCUGGUAAAUGUUUUGGUUGAAGGUGAGUUGUUACCACAGAUUUUUGUGAAGAUGUUACAAAGAGAUAAGCCCAUUAAGAUGCAGCUCACAUCAGCAAAAUGUUUAACUUAUAUGUGUAGAGCUGGAGCAAUUCAGAUGGAUGACAACUGUUUUGUAUUGCCUUGUUUGCAGUAAGGAGAGAUUGCUAGAGGAGAGAGCUGAAGGAGCUGAGACACUUGCCUAUCUGAUUGAACCAGAUGUUGAGCUGCAAGAAUCGUUAAGCAUAACCGAUUACCUCAUUGCCAUGCUUGCUGAUUAUUUCAAGUAUCCCAAAUCAUUGGGAUAUUUAAAGGCUUAACCACGAUUUAAAACAUGCUCAAGAACUCCACCAGGCUGCAUUCAAGCUCUAUGGCUCUUUUGGAACAAAUUAUGAAGACAUCUGGAAGAAGGUCCGGGGCAACCUUCAGCUAGCAACAGUCUUGGAGCUCUUAAAUCAGAGAGACAAUCUGCUUCAACCAGAUGAGUGGUUUUAUCUAUUGCCGACUCCGGGAAUGGAGUUAAGAUAA